This 1643-nucleotide long non-coding RNA is filed under the name Equus caballus (horse). RNAcentral describes it as "lncRNA (ENSECAG00000053344.1)". Lineage: Eukaryota; Metazoa; Chordata; Mammalia; Perissodactyla; Equidae. The record is from RNAcentral.
CCCAUCAGCUUGGAGGAGUGCUGUUGGCCCCCUGGGUCCCCACACUAAAAGGUGGUGUUAGAGCCAGAGGAAAAGUCAGGUCUUGUGGCUCCUGUUUAUUUCUGCUGCCCCAGAACUUGCCCUCUCCCCUUCUACACUAGACUUGAGUCAUGCUGAAACACUGGGAGUUCUUGAACAGGUCUGCUCUUUUCUUUCCCUAGAUAUUUCACAAAAUGUCCCUUAUCUUCCCCUCUUUCCUUCUGGCUAACUUCCCCUUGGCUGACUCUUCCAUCCAACUGACUCCUGAGUCUUCGAAAACUGUUAGGUCUUCUCCCUACAGAAUGUCACGACUGGCAGGAGGAGCAAAUAAAACAAUCAUAGGGACGAAAUAACACAUUCAGGAAACCUUCCAAUUCCUUGCCUCUUAAGUCCCUUUUUUAAUGUGGUGCUUGGAAACACUAAUGACCUCUUAUUUUAUUCUUGAAAAAGUUGACUCAUGUCUCUCUGAAACCAAAACAAGAAUCUAGGCCUAAAAGUAAUGAGUCUAUACUAGUAGGACUUUUAUGUGCUCCAUAUGUAAGCUAGUUACAGAAAAGGAGGAAGUGAUUCUCACUGGAAAGGCCAAUAUAGGACAUUUUUUUCCAAAGAUACCUAGGAUGUAAACAGAAGUAUACAAAACCUUGCUUUUAAGAUAGUGUGCAGUCUAGCAGUGGGAUAUGGCACUUAUAUUUAUUUUCUAUUACUGGGUAACAAAUUAGCCGCAAAUUUAACAGCUUAAAACAUCACCCAUUUGUCAGCUCCCAGUUCCGCAAUUCAGCAGUCUGGGCUGGGCUCAGUAGUUUUCUGCUCAGAGUCUCACACUCAAGGUGUGGGCUGAGCUGAGCUCUUAUCUGGAGGCUGGGAGUCCCCUUCCCAGCUCACUCAGGUCCAGGCUGUUGUAGGGCCAAAGUCCGUUUUCUUGCUGGCUGCCAGGGACUGUUCUCAGCUUGCAGAGGCCACUCUCAGGUCCUCGCCAUGUGCCAUCCUCCAUCUUCAAAGCCAGCACCAGAGAAUCCCCCUUGGGUCAAAUCCUUCUCAGCUUUCAAAUCUCUUUCAUCAGUAAAAGCCAUUUUAUGGUCUCCCUGAUGAGGUUAGAUUAGGUCAACUGUGACAUAGGAUAUGACCUAAGCAUGGAAACGAUAUCCCACCAUAUUCACAGGUCCUUCCCACACUCAAAGGAAGUGGGAUGUGGGUCAUUUUAGCAUUCUGCCUACCUCAGUACUCAAUGGAUAAGGCAGAAUAAGAUCAAUUAAAAAGAUAUAAAAUGUUUCAGAGUAGUGGAGAGAGAAACUUACUGUAUGUGCUUAGCAUAUGGGAGAUGUUCAAUCAGUAUUUGUUAAUAUGUGGGAAAUAUAUAUAUUCUGAGAGCACAAUAAUGUAUUGAACUGUUUUAAUCAGAAUAAACUAAAUUAGUCAAAUAAGAAAAUACUUUUGACUCACAAUUUGGGUAGUUUGAUCGUCAAGUUUCUGGGUAGGGGGACUUGAACUCCAGAAGGCAGCAUCAAGGGAGGACUGGGGUAGGUAAAGAUGCUUCAUACAUCUAGGGGUUUUGAGCCAUUCUUGGGGGAGGAGCAAGAAGAUCUGAAUUACGGGGAAAGUCCAGGCAGGAACCACAGUAGGUAGCU